RNAcentral lists this long non-coding RNA (278 nucleotides) under Gossypium raimondii (Peruvian cotton). RNAcentral describes it as "long non-coding RNA (GRAI_LNC000756)". The record is from RNAcentral. Lineage: Eukaryota; Viridiplantae; Streptophyta; Magnoliopsida; Malvales; Malvaceae.
AAAUUGGUUCGUUAAAGCAGUGAUGAACGAUGAGGGUUUGUAAUUGUGGGGUAAUAAUAUGUGAAGCAAACUUUAUUUUGGUUCCAUCUUUCACCUUUUCUUUUUCCAUAAACAUAAAAAAAGCUUUAACAAAUGGAAAACAUAAAAAAAAAUAAAAAAAAUUAAGUUAAAAGAAAUGGAGAAGGGAGAAAAAUAGAGGGAGAAACAUAAGAGAAUGGGAAAAAGAAAAAAAAAGGAUAAAGUUAAAAGAAUAUAAAAGAAAAAAAAUUAAAUUGCUG